GAUGCUGUUGUGUGGUGGUUAUCACGUCAGUCUUACACACUGAACUUCCCCAGUUCGAUCCCGGGCAGCAUUA
RNAcentral lists this transfer RNA (73 nucleotides) under Olea europaea subsp. europaea. It matches the Rfam family "tRNA". From Rfam's summary of the family: Transfer RNA (tRNA) molecules are approximately 80 nucleotides in length. Their secondary structure includes four short double-helical elements and three loops (D, anti-codon, and T loops). Further hydrogen bonds mediate the characteristic L-shaped molecular structure. tRNAs have two regions of fundamental functional importance: the anti-codon, which is responsible for specific mRNA codon recognition, and the 3' end, to which the tRNAs corresponding amino acid is attached (by aminoacyl-tRNA synthetases). tRNAs cope with the degeneracy of the genetic code in two manners: having more than one tRNA (with a specific anti-codon) for a particular amino acid; and 'wobble' base-pairing, i.e. permitting non-standard base-pairing at the 3rd anti-codon position. Lineage: Eukaryota; Viridiplantae; Streptophyta; Magnoliopsida; Lamiales; Oleaceae. The record is from Rfam by way of RNAcentral.